This 246-nucleotide ribosomal RNA is filed under the name uncultured bacterium. Its description in RNAcentral is "partial 16S ribosomal RNA". It matches the Rfam family "Bacterial small subunit ribosomal RNA", at positions 109 to 354 of the family's 1533-position model. The record is from RNAcentral.
AGUAACGCGUGGGCAACCUGCCUCAUACAGGGGGAUAGCAUCGGGAAACUGGUGGUAAAACCGCAUAAGCGCACGGGAACGCAUGUUUUGUGUGAAAAGGAGAAAUCUGGUAUGAGAUGGACCCGCGUCUGAUUAGCUAGUUGGAGUGGUAAAAGCACACCAAGGCAACGAUCAGUAGCCGGCCUGAGAGGGUGGACGGCCACAUUGGGACUGAGACACGGCCCAGACUCCUACGGGAGGCAGCAG